This 329-nucleotide ribosomal RNA is filed under the name Boletus reticulatus. RNAcentral's name for it is "eukaryotic LSU rRNA". It matches the Rfam family "Eukaryotic large subunit ribosomal RNA", at positions 38 to 357 of the family's 3401-position model. Lineage: Eukaryota; Fungi; Basidiomycota; Agaricomycetes; Boletales; Boletaceae. The record is from RNAcentral.
GCAUAUCAAUAAGCGGAGGAAAAGAAACUAACAAGGAUUCCCCUAGUAACUGCGAGUGAAGCGGGAAAAGCUCAAAUUUUGAAUCUGGCGGUCUUUGCAGACCGUCCGAGUUGUAAUCUAGAGAAGCGUCUUCCGCGCCGGCCCGUGUACAAGUCUCCUGGAAGGGAGCGUCUUAGAGGGUGAGAAUCCCGUCUCUGACACGGACCACCGGGGCUAUGUGAUGCGCUCUCGACGAGUCGAGUUGUUUGGGAAUGCAGCUCAAAAAGGGUGGUAAACUCCAUCUAAAGCUAAAUAUUGGCGAGAGACCGAUAGCGAACAAGUACCGUGAG